Molecule: ribosomal RNA, 253 nt
Filed under: uncultured bacterium
Lineage: Bacteria
Description: partial 16S ribosomal RNA
Rfam family: Bacterial small subunit ribosomal RNA
Source: RNAcentral
UACGUAGGGUGCAGGCGUUAAUCGGAAUUACUGGGCGUAAAGCGUGCGCAGGCGGUCUGCUAAGACAGGUGUGAAAUCCCCGGGCUUAACCUGGGAACUGCACUUGUGACUGCACAGCUGGAGUACGGCAGAGGGGGAUGGAAUUCCGCGUGUAGCAGUGAAAUGCGUAGAUAUGCGGAGGAACACCGAUGGCGAAGGCAGUCCCCUGGGCCUGUACUGACGCUCAUGCACGAAAGCGUGGGGAGCAAACAGG